CCUACGGGGGGCAGCAGUAGGGAAUCUUUCACAAUGGGCGAAAGCCUGAUGGAGCAACGCCGCGUGCAGGAUGAGGGCCUUCGGGUUGUAAACUGCUUUUAUAAGCGAGAAAUAUGAUGGUAACUUAUGAAUAAGGAUCGGCUAACUACGUGCCAGCAGCCGCGGUCAUACGUAGGAUCCGAGCAUUAGCCGGAGUGACUGGGUGUAAAGAGUUGCAUAGGUGGCAUAAUAAGUAGCUAGUGAAAUCUGGUGGCUCAACCAUUCAGACUAUUAGCUAAACUGUUAAGCUCGAGCCCGUUAGGGGUAACUGGAAUUUCGAGUGUAGGAGUGAAAUGCGUAGAUAUUAGAAGGAACACCAAUAGCGUAGGCAGGUUACUGGGACGGUACUGACGCUAAGGCACGAAAGCGUAGGGAGCAAACGGGAUUAGAUACCCGUGUAGUC
RNAcentral lists this ribosomal RNA (442 nucleotides) under uncultured bacterium. RNAcentral describes it as "partial 16S ribosomal RNA". It matches the Rfam family "Bacterial small subunit ribosomal RNA", at positions 338 to 795 of the family's 1533-position model. The record is from RNAcentral.